GUGUUUGCUUCGGCAGCACAUAUACUAAAAUUGGAAUGAUACAGAGAAAAUUAGCAUGGCCCCUGCGCAAGGACAACUCUUCCCACGACACACUUGGCCCUCAUGUAC
Small nuclear RNA from Ochotona curzoniae (black-lipped pika), 108 nucleotides. The record is from RefSeq and is a predicted model, not a curated record. NCBI's taxonomy places the organism in Eukaryota, Metazoa, Chordata, Mammalia, Lagomorpha, Ochotonidae.